AGAAUCAACGCUGGCGGCGCGCUUAACACAUGCAAGUCGCACGAGAAAGCCGGAGCAAUCUGGUGAGUAAAGUGGCGCACGGGUGAGUAACACGUGGAUCAUCUACCUUCUAGUGGGGAAUAACCCUGGGAAACCGGGGCUAAUACCGCAUAAGCUCGAAAGAGGAAAGCGUUGUCCCUUAAAAGACGACGCGCUGGACGAGGAGUCCGCGGCCGAUUAGCUAGUUGGCAGGGUAACAGCCUACCAAGGCUUUGAUCGGUAGCCGGCCUGAGAGGGCACACGGCCACACUGGCACUGAAACACGGGCCAGACUCCUACGGGAGGCAGCAGUGGGGAAUCUUGCACAAUGGGGGCAACCCUGAUGCAGCGACGCCGCGUGAGUGAUGAAGCCCUUCGGGGUGUAAAGCUCUUUCGGCAGGAACGAAUAUUGACGGUACCUGCAGAAGAAGCUGCGGCUAACUACGUGCCAGCAGCCGCGGU
This 480-nucleotide ribosomal RNA is filed under the name uncultured bacterium. RNAcentral's name for it is "SSU rRNA". It matches the Rfam family "Bacterial small subunit ribosomal RNA", at positions 26 to 521 of the family's 1533-position model. The record is from RNAcentral.